Zalophus californianus (California sea lion) is the source of this 370-nucleotide long non-coding RNA. RefSeq lists it as uncharacterized. NCBI's taxonomy places the organism in Eukaryota, Metazoa, Chordata, Mammalia, Carnivora, Otariidae. The record is from RefSeq and is a predicted model, not a curated record. The transcript has 3 exons.
AUCUGGAGUGCAUCCAUGAGCAGAGAAAAAUGACCAAGACAUUCUCCGAAGCAGGCUAGGACCCUGACUAAGCCCUGCCACGUUUUCCUGCAUGACUUCUCAUCAUUGCGGUUAAUACCAGAUACUUCAGCUAUCUUCUUAUUUAUUGUCCGCCACACUCCAUUUGAAUACAAGCUCCCUGAAAGCAAAGAAUUUAUUUUGGCUUCGUUCUGAAUGCCCAGCCCUCAGGACAAGGAAAGCCUAUACGAACACACAGUGAGGAGGCAGCUAUCUACAAGCCAAGAAACAAGUCCUCACCAGGAACCCGAUUUGCUGGCACCUUGACCUUGGACUUUCCAGGCACUAGAACUCUUGAGAAAUAAACGUGUGC